CGUCAGACCUGCCCACUGAUUUAUUUAAUGGCCGCGGUAUUUUGACCGUGCAAAGGUAGCAUAGUAAUUUGUCUUUUAAUUGAAGGCUUGUAUGAAUGGUUGGACGAGAAAACUACUUUCUUUAUAAUAAAAUUGUUAAUUUUAUUUUUUAGUUAAAAAGCUAAAAUGUUGUUGUAGGACGAGAAGACCCUAUAGAACUUUAUAUUUAUUUUUUUAUUAAUAUUUUUGGUUAAUAAUAUGUUGUAUCUUUAUAAAUAUUUUGUUGGGGCGACAAGAAAAUUUAUUUAACUUUUUUUAUUAAUUUCAUUAAUUAAUGUAUAAAUGAUCCUUUAUUAUGGAUAAUUAGAAUAAGUUACCUUAGGGAUAACAGCGUAAUUUUUUUGGAGAGUUCUUAUCGAUAAAAAAGUUUGCGA
Molecule: ribosomal RNA, 413 nt
Filed under: Callicorixa praeusta
Lineage: Eukaryota; Metazoa; Arthropoda; Insecta; Hemiptera; Corixidae
Description: partial large subunit ribosomal RNA
Rfam family: Archaeal large subunit ribosomal RNA
Source: RNAcentral